Molecule: long non-coding RNA, 1572 nt
Organism: Cavia porcellus (domestic guinea pig)
Lineage: Eukaryota; Metazoa; Chordata; Mammalia; Rodentia; Caviidae
Exons: 4
Source: RefSeq, a predicted model, not a curated record
UUCCUACUUGCUGUUGGCAGCCGCCAUGAACUGUGGUCCAGUCAUGCCCGCCUGUCUUGGAGCCAACUGAGUGUGGACUGAAACUUCCAAAAACUGUGUAUGGUCCAGCAGGGAGCUGCCUAAUGAGCUGGGGCUCCAUCUUGUGAGUCCCCCUCCACUCCAGCCUGCGGCAUGCAUGUCACCUUGGUGAAUCCCAGCAGGGACUGAUCCUACCAUGAUCCCCAAGAUGAGUAAAUAAACAAGAGGAUUAAUUAAUUCUCUUAUCCAUUCAUUGACUCACUUGAUGAAUAUUUGUUUAGAGGAGAUGAGUCGAAGGAUGCUGACAUCCACCUAAGGUUGUGGACCAGAGCAGAGGCCUCUGCUGGGAGAACUAAGGAGAAGCUGACUCAGAUCCCCGGUCCUUCUGGACAGUGGGGUGCACAGGCCCUGGAGCACCUGUCUUCUGGACGGUGGGCCAGUGUUACAGGACCAUCACAUUGUUCCUAAUCCUCCCUCUAAGAGGAUAAUGGCAUCCCGCUACCUUAGGCCGGAUUCCAAGGACAGUGCUACAGAAAGAAGUGGGAAUCAGUGGAAAAGGCAAGGUCCCUGUGCCUUGCAGAAGACAGUGAGGAGGAGCCCUCGGGAUAAGCAGCCGUGUACCAUGGAGGGUCGGGCAGUGGUGCAGGAGUUGGGGCCCUUCACAAGGCCUCCUCUAGGGGUGGUAAUGGGGGAGUGGAAAGCAGAAGGGGUCUUUCUUAGCCUAGAAGAUGCUCAGAGGCAGAAGGCAAGAGCAUUCCAGAGAUGCUGGAGCUCUGAGCAGAAGGACCUGGAGUGAGGGUAAGACUAGAGCCUGCCUUAGCAAGUGGGGCUUGAGUUAGGCACCUGGUGCUGCUAAUACCAUCAUUGUGAUCCUGGAAAAUCUACAAUCCUAGGAAGCAUAUUCCUCAUGUAAUGUCCUCAACUUCUAGAAAAGAAGGUACAAUUAAAUUCUAAUAAAUACGUCCAUAGAUAAAUCUACAAAUAGACUGACGAUUCAGAAAACAACUCAGCAAGUGACCAGGGGUUAUUUAGAGUGUUAGUAUAAAGCGACCUUUCACACCAGAGUUUGGUAACUACUCAGUGAAGGGUGUUAAAAUAACCUAUUAUCUAUUGGAGAAAAAGUAAAUCGAAUUUAGUCCCUCAUACUGUGAAAGCAAAAUUCUAGACAAACUAAAUGCCUACACAAUUAAAACUUCCUAAAAGUAUUAAAAGAAAAAUGGAAUGUAUUUCAUUCCAUUUGGAAAUCAGAAAAGAGUCAUGAAUUCUUCAGUCGCUUUCCGUGAUGUCUCCUUGGUGAGGGUCUUUGGUCUCACUGUGGAAUGCAGGGUCUGUAAUCUUAUUUCAUUCUGAUAUGUUAGCGUGUGUGCACGUGUACUCGUGUGCAUGCCCUGUGACACUUCCAGCUGACCUCAGCCCUGUCUCCUAAGGAGAGGAAAUCACGAAUGGUGAGUGGUCAAGAGGGAUUGUAAACUUAUCUGUAUUGUUUGAAUUUUUUAUCAUCACAAUAGAUUCAUGUGCUACUUGUGUAAUUAAAAAUAAAUGAAAUUAAAUAUC